AUGUUAUCAAGAGUGGACGAAAGAAUCGGCUUAAUGACUCCACAGCAACCUGUAUUUUAUAAGGUGCUAAUACCGACAAAGCAAAAAGUGCUUUGAAUGAUGAUUU
RNAcentral lists this non-coding RNA (106 nucleotides) under Clostridium sp. RNAcentral describes it as "SAM-I sequence". It matches the Rfam family "SAM riboswitch aptamer (S box leader)". From Rfam's summary of the family: The SAM riboswitch is found upstream of a number of genes which code for proteins involved in methionine or cysteine biosynthesis in Gram-positive bacteria. The record is from RNAcentral. Lineage: Bacteria; Bacillati; Bacillota; Clostridia; Eubacteriales; Clostridiaceae.